RNAcentral lists this ribosomal RNA (548 nucleotides) under Leptosphaerulina sp. Fungi13. RNAcentral's name for it is "eukaryotic LSU rRNA". It matches the Rfam family "Eukaryotic large subunit ribosomal RNA", at positions 57 to 609 of the family's 3401-position model. The record is from RNAcentral. Lineage: Eukaryota; Fungi; Ascomycota; Dothideomycetes; Pleosporales; Didymellaceae.
AAAAGAAACCAACAGGGAUUGCCUCAGUAACGGCGAGUGAAGCGGCAACAGCUCAAAUUUGAAAUCUGGCUCCCUUGGCGUCCGAGUUGUAAUUUGCAGAGGAUGCUUUGGCAUUGGCGGCGGUCUAAGUGCCCUGGAACGGGACAUCGCAGAGGGUGAGAAUCCCGUACGUGGGCGCCUGCCUUUGCCGUGUAAAGCUCCUUCGACGAGUCGAGUUGUUUGGGAAUGCAGCUCUAAAUGGGAGGUAAAUUUCUCCUAAAGCUAAAUACCGGCCAGAGACCGAUAGCGCACAAGUAGAGUGAUCGAAAGAUGAAAAGCACUUUGGAAAGAGAGUUAAAUAGCACGUGAAAUUGUUGAAAGGGAAGCGCUUGCAGCCAGACUUGCCCGCAGUUGCUCACCUAGGCUUUUGCCUGGGGCACUCUUCUGCGGGCAGGCCAGCAUCAGUUUGGGCGGUCGGAUAAAGGUCUCUGUCAUGUACCACCCCUCGGGGGGCCUUAUAGGGGAGACGCAAUGCGACCAGCCCGGACUGAGGUCCGCGCAUCUGCUAG